GUCUGCAGUAUGAAAGUACUAAUCAGAUUGUUUAGACCCUUAAAGGGGAAGUCUACAGUAUGAAAGUACUAAUCAGAUUAUUUAGACCCUUAACCCUUUCAUGCGUGAGUUCCAAAUAUCUGUAACGGUCGCCCCAGCGUGAGUUUUUUUAUGCACGUGAUGUUAGAAUGUUCUCUCCAUUCCAGAAUGUGAUUGAUACGUAACAGUACAUUUGAUCCGCGCUGCCCUCAAACUAAAGCACGCAGCCUGUUUAUAUUUAUAGGUUGUUUUAACUUCAAUUUCUAAUGAUUUUCAAACAAGUUUUUAUUUUCUAAAAACAGUUUGAAUUUAGGUGUGUUCCGCCUCCUCAUUCAUUCACAUAAAAAUAGUCAUUUUUACUUUUGCGGAUAAUUACAUUUUUGGGACAUUUCUGAAACGGACAAAAUUCCCCAAGCACUUCCCAAUUGUUUGUGCAGUUCACGUCUUCAGACAUUUGCUCAUCUCCCGUCAGAACAGGAUCUGCACACGUGUUCACAUUUUCUAUUCCACAUUUCUAUUGUAGCGUACUGUAUGUAUGGAGUAUAAUAUAUUUGUUUAUAUUCUUUAUCACCGCGGACACGUGAGGUAACGUUACUCAUUUUAUAACCUUUAUGGUGUUAUAGUCAAUCGUGCUUAUGUAGCCACAUUCUUCUAUUAGCUCUGUAAAACAAUGCUAAAUGCGUCAGAGAAGUAUUAUCUGUGUUGCAUUUUGAAGCUACCAUGGCCUUAUGACUCUCAAGUGGUGCAGCGGUCAAAGGCACAGCACAUCAGUACUAGAGGCGUCACUACAGACUCCCUGGUUCAAAUCCAGGCUGCGUUUCCAUCAAAAAACCAGAAACAUUAUUUGCCAAUAUCAUAACUGGAGCUGGACAUCUUUGGAGCUGAAGAAUGAGGACAGCUUUUGUAUGCUAACGUACACUCCUUAACAGUUGUACUGGAUGAAAACACAGCAAGAAAACACAUAUGCCAAUAUGUAAUAUUAAUCUAUUUUAUUGCAGUACUGGUAGUUGGUUCAACAACUUGUUUUACUAGAGGACAAAAAACUGAAUAUGCAUAACCCAUAUUUAAUAUCCAUGCAGUGACUGAACAACUGCAUUUCCACCCCCAUCUCUAAGGCAUAGUAUCAUGGCUGCAACAACACUGAAUGGCGCAGAGUGGGAGGUUACGUGGUUGACUGCCGGCACGCGCUACUUGUAUCAAUAAAUCACUAUCAGAAAAUGUUUUGUGUGGUAAUUAUUUGUGUAUUUACGAUUUUAUUCACAUGUUUUCAAUUCUAGGUGACAAAUCAUGCAUUCCGAUUCUUGCACAGAUUGUAAUGGGCACAUAUUAUGUGUGUAAAAUACCUUUUUGAAGGUUGUACUGAUUAUGAUGAGCUAAGCUAAUUCCAGCUGUGUAGCCAUGUUUGUUGACAUACAAUGCAUUCUGGGAUUCACGUCUGUUUGACCAAAGAUGUUAUAACAAAAUGAGGUGAGUAAGAGUUCACUAAUUUUUUGAGGACUUCCGGAAAUUAAUGGUGGGAUAUGAACGAUGGUAGAUGACACACCCCUUCAACAUGCAUACUACAAACAGACCAAACUCAUCUCGUCUUCUCUUAUUAUCUUCGGU
Oncorhynchus nerka (sockeye salmon) is the source of this 1623-nucleotide long non-coding RNA. RefSeq lists it as uncharacterized. The record is from RefSeq and is a predicted model, not a curated record. NCBI's taxonomy places the organism in Eukaryota, Metazoa, Chordata, Actinopteri, Salmoniformes, Salmonidae. The transcript is spliced from 2 exons.